GAUGUCUUGCAGAAUCCCUUCUAUUGUGCACUGGAAGAUCGCUGGACUUGAAGCAAUUCCAAAUGGUGGCCUGUUUGUCCAAAGCCCAGGCUGACCCCCCACCCCUUCAACCUCUGCAGCAAUGCUGGCAGCACUAUUUCCCAAAGACAACCUCUGGAUAUGACGCUGAGCACGUGCACUCAACUUCUUCUUUGGUGGACCAUGGCGAGGCCUGUUCUGAGUGGAACCUGUCCUGUUAAACCGCUGUAUGGUCUUGGCCACCGUGCUGCAGCUCAGUGUCAGGGUCUUGGCGAUCUUCUUAAAGCCUAGGCCAUCUUUAUGUAGAGCAAGAAUUCUUCUUUUCAGAUCCUCAGAGAGUUCUUUGCCUUGAGGUGCCAUGUUGAACUUCCAGUGACCAGUAUGAGGGAGUUGUCCAAAGCCCGUGGUGGUGGCAGUGCAAGGCGUGUGUGGGGGAGCAGGAGUGGAUCUAAUCACAGCCUGUGAUAUUCGUCUGUGCACACAGGAUGCCUGGUUUCAGGUGAAGUCGUGUGUUCCCUGAUAGUCAAUGAUUGCUGGAGCUCUGGAAAUAGCAGGUGAGAUUGCAGGCCGGAGUCCCGUCGCUGUCCAGGGAACCAAAGUCAACCUCCUCUACUCCUGAGACCACAGUGUGACUGAGAGCCUAGACUACAUGGCUACUUGGAACAUGAACAUGUUGCAGACACAGGAUCUUAUGAAGUCAGCGCAGACAGCCCUGGAAAAGAAGAGUCCGAAAGACGUGCCCUUCUCCAAGCUUUAAAGGAGAAGAUCCAGGGCUGUUGAAGCUGCGGUGGAACUGAGACUUCAUCAUCCACAUAUCUUUAAUUCUUCUUGCUAAGUCUCAGUUUUUUAGUCUUUUUAUUUUUAGACUGGUCAAAAGACUGAUUAGUGGAAGUGAAAUGAUAGAUGAACUUUUAAUUACUUGCUUUAUUAUUCGCAGGUGCUUUGUACAGUAAGACAGGGUAACUAAUACUCAAAAGCUUGUUUUGUGUGUUAACAUGUACAGUAGAUGUACAUAUUUUUUCUGGUGCUGUGUGACUGCAGAAUGUAGUGCAGUUAACACAGUAAAUUUCCUUGGAUGCUCACUUUUAACUCGAGGAGGUCACAUUUUUCCCAGACAUCUUUUUUUAAAUCCGUCAAUCCGUCACCCACACGUCAUUCUGGGGGACGAAGAGGAGGAAGCUGGACAGAUAAAUUUAUUUAUUUAUUUAUCAUUGCUGUGUUUCCUCAAUCCAGUGCAGAAAGAAGAAAAACAACACAACUGAUUUAAAAUAAAAAUAUAGAAAACAAUCUAAUGUAAGGUUCUGAUCCGGUUUGCUUUCAGCAGGAAGGCUGUCCUCUUUCCUGUUGCUCUUUCUCUUCUAUUAGUCCAUUUGUCAAGUCUGAGUCGGUUUGAUUUGUUUCGAGACGAUUCGGAGUCAAAUAAUUUUCUAGUGAGAGUCGCACACUUCCAAACGAACUAGACUGAGAUGAGUAUUUGAUUCUCACUAGAAAGUGAUUCGACUCUGAAUCAACUCGAAAUGAAUCAGUCAAACUGAUUCAGACUCUAUAAAAGGACUAUGAGAUGUGAUUAAGAUAUAUAUUCCAAUGUUUUGCUUUACAAUUCCACUGUGUGUGUGUGUGUGUGUGUGUGUGCGUGUGCGCGCGCGCGCACGUGUGUUUUUCAGGAGAACGAGAAACUCUGACACAAGAGUACAUCCUGACCAUUGGUACUGUGUACACAUCAACAUACACACACGUCUCCAUGCUGGACAUCUCAGGAGCUUUCACACACAGUGCUAGGAAUAUCCCGGGACAGAGAAACGCACCUCCUAAGUGAGCGAGUUUAGCGUCAACCGGUGAAAUUUGCUGUAGCGUGAACACUUCGCCUCUAAAUGAUCUUUCGAGGCAGCUUCUUCAUCACUACCUGCUCCGUUUGACUAAAAAAUGUAACGACUGGUUUCAAAAAGUCACAAUGUCUUCAGUUCAUGUGAUUUUACUGUUUAAUUUAAACAGGAAAUGUGAAAUAUUUUUUUCCUUUGUUUCCUCUACUGUCUUUUUGCUGUGAUCUUGAACACAGUUGUAAUUUAAAAAAAAAUAAUAAAUAAAUGAUCAUUCUAUUCUUUCUCACUUUCCUUGUCCUAAUUGUCCUGUAUCUGUUAAAUCCGUUUAAUCUCUGGUCUUUCUGUCUGUAUGAACACUUGUAGAAAUGACUUGUAGUCCAUAUUUUUAAAUGAUUCGUGAU
Molecule: long non-coding RNA, 2239 nt
Organism: Ictalurus punctatus (channel catfish)
Lineage: Eukaryota; Metazoa; Chordata; Actinopteri; Siluriformes; Ictaluridae
Source: Ensembl